UACGUAGGGACCAAGCGUUGUUCGGAUUUACUGGGCGUAAAGGGCGCGUAGGCGGCUUAACAAGUCACUUGUGAAAUCUCCGGGCUUAACUCGGAACGGCCAAGUGAAACUGUCAAGCUAGAGUGCAGAAGGGGCAAUCGGAAUUCUUGGUGUAGCGGUGAAAUGCGUAGAUAUCAAGAGGAACACCUGAGGUGAAGACGGGUUGCUGGGCUGACACUGACGCUGAGGUGCGAAAGCGUGGGGGAGCAAACAGG
RNAcentral lists this ribosomal RNA (254 nucleotides) under uncultured bacterium. RNAcentral describes it as "partial 16S ribosomal RNA". It matches the Rfam family "Bacterial small subunit ribosomal RNA", at positions 524 to 776 of the family's 1533-position model. The record is from RNAcentral.